RNAcentral lists this ribosomal RNA (253 nucleotides) under uncultured bacterium. Its description in RNAcentral is "partial 16S ribosomal RNA". It matches the Rfam family "Bacterial small subunit ribosomal RNA", at positions 524 to 776 of the family's 1533-position model. The record is from RNAcentral.
UACAGAGGGUGCGAGCGUUAAUCGGAAUUACUGGGCGUAAAGCGUGCGUAGACGGUUAUUUAAGUCGGGUGUGAAAGCCCCGGGCUCAACCUGGGAAUUGCAUUCGAGACUGAAUAGCUAGGGUACGGUAGAGGGAAGCGGAAUUUCCGGUGUAGUGGUGAAAUGCGUAGAUAUCGGAAGGAACAUCAGUGGCGAAAGCGGCUUCCUGGACCAGUACCGACGUUCAGGCACGAAAGCGUGGGGAGCAAACAGG